GUGAGGAAUAUUGGACAAUGGGCGCAAGCCUGAUCCAGCCAUGCCGCGUGCAGGAAGACGCAUCUAUGGUGUGUAAACUGCUUUUGUACGGGAAGAAACACUCCCUCGUGAGGGAGCUUGACGGUACCGUAAGAAUAAGGAUCGGCUAACUCCGUGCCAGCAGCCGCGGUAAUACGGAGGAUCCAAGCGUUAUCCGGAAUCAUUGGGUUUAAAGGGUCCGUAGGCGGUUUAAUAAGUCAGUUGUGAAAGCCCAUCGCUCAACGAUGGAACGGCCAUUGAUACUGUUAGACUUGAAUUACAAGGAAGUAACUAGAAUAUGUAGUGUAGCGGUGAAAUGCUUAGAUAUUACAUGGAAUACCAAUUGCGAAGGCAGGUUACUACUUGUGGAUUGACGCUGAUGGACGAAAGCGUGGGGAGCGAACAGGAUUAGAAACCCUUGUAGUCC
RNAcentral lists this ribosomal RNA (445 nucleotides) under uncultured bacterium. RNAcentral describes it as "partial 16S ribosomal RNA". It matches the Rfam family "Bacterial small subunit ribosomal RNA", at positions 354 to 796 of the family's 1533-position model. The record is from RNAcentral.